RNAcentral lists this microRNA precursor (145 nucleotides) under Gossypium arboreum. RNAcentral describes it as "MIR7502 microRNA precursor family". It matches the Rfam family "MIR7502 microRNA precursor family". Lineage: Eukaryota; Viridiplantae; Streptophyta; Magnoliopsida; Malvales; Malvaceae. The record is from Rfam by way of RNAcentral.
UAUGAAAUUUUAUAUCCAUUUAUAUUAUUAAAAAACUGCAUAGCUAACGUAAUAACCAGACAGUGAUACAUGACAUGCCAUGUGUACAUCAUGUUGACAUACAUGAAUCAAUUUUUAACAAUAAAAAUGAAUUAAAAUUUUAACA